AUGGAGAGCUCACUUGCAGAAAGUAUCAUGGCUACUGCUAAAAUGGGAAUUGUGCAUUGUCAUAUGGAACGUCCAUCUGUAAUAGAGAGGAGGCCACAUGAUGCCACCAAUUUUAUGCUGUAUCGAAGUGGAGUAAGAACUAGCACAAACAAGGGAGUAGCACCUAUAAAAACACCUUGCUUGAAUGGGAUUUGGGGAGGAGCCUGUCUUUCUCACUGUGUGCUGACAUAUGUCCUUACCUUACAGGAUCUGUCCCAGCCAUGGAGCUCCUGGACAGACAGCUGCUUAAUUAAAACGUUGAAUUUGUCUUUAUUCUUCUUGUUGCUGAGCAAUGUGAACACCGCCAAGCGACAUGCCGAACCUGAGCCAUGGACUAGUCAGCUGGACCACGCAUCUGCAGAGAAACAGCGGCCCAUCUUCUGCUAGGGGGAGGUCAUGUUUAGAGGAAAGAAAGCCCAAUUCUGGGUCCACUGGGCUGCAUCCGGCCUGGAGCAGGAGCAAUGUCCUGCAGGGAUGGGAUGAUCUGACCCUACAUGGCCAUGGGAAAAGGAUAAAGCUGUCGGUGAUAGUCUAAUCAAUAUCAACCAUCUACCAGUGCAAGAGGAUAUCAAAUCUCUGAAGAGAUCCUUUCCAUCCCUGCCUUCAAACCCUCUAAGAGCAGCAAAGGGAUUUUUCUUCUCACCAGCCUUUCACUAAAUGCUGGGGGCCUUACCUGCUGCUGGGAUGCUAGACCAUUGGAGUUAGGCUAUGUUGGGGCUGGAUCCUGCAGGCUGUAUUGGCUUUUGCUGUUCCUACUGGUAGCUUUGCUUGUGUCCUCACAGCUGAUUUAAGAGCUGGGGAAAAUUUAAUCCUCAGCUGUAGAAGGAAGCGAACUAGAAAAUCCUUUGAAAAUAUCCUUUGGUUUAAUAUUUUGCAACCAUUACACAAGCAAGUUCAUAUUGUUCCAAGUCUAGUUAUAAGAUUAUAGCAAAGAAUGGAGCAGCUUUUCUGACUGAUAUUCAUACAUUUCAAAGUAUGCAUCUUCAAACAUCUCCCACACUGGGAUGAAAUCAUGGUUUCUGUAGUUCUUCAUGGAAAGAACUGUGCCUUCAGGUCGUUGGCGCCCAGUUAUUUCAGAAGCAUGAUGUUUUGCUUCACAGUUCUCAAACUGUGUUAAAAUAAGCAGAAGUUUGAAACAAGUGUUUUAGCCUCUCAGAAAAUUACUUUGGCCCUGGAACAAGAAUUCACUCCAGAACUAAGAUAUAUUUCCAGCAGAAGUUUUUCUUUUGUUUGUUGGGUUUGAGGUGGGAGAGGGUGGUUGGCAGGUUGUUUUUUGAAAUUUAAAAUUCUUGACCAGCCCUAUUCAAGCACCCUACUUGCUCCAGACUAGUAGAUCAGGUAACAAAGCCCAUCCCUUUACAAACAGAGACCCAGAUCAUAUCCCGAAACGCAAGCAUCAAAGAGAAUUUAUCAAGGGCAUCUUAUUUUAGCAUUUACACCACAGGGAAGAAAAAAUAUGCAGCCUUUGUUAGCCUCUUCAAGGACUUCUUCCCAAGCCUCACCAUCCAACUGAUUUGUUACUCCAUUCUAGCAGCCUUAGAUCAUGCAGCAAGAGGUGGACCUUAGGAAACAGCAGCUUGUUCUUAACCAGAGAGUGAUAACACCACUCAGCUCCUCUGCGAAAGACCCAAAAGACUUAUGAUGUCCAUGUGCACAGGCAAAUAGCUGUGAAGCUGUGAUCUUUCUCAAGCAACAGUUUUAGCUAGCAAGUGUACUCUAACAGGAUCGGCUAAUUAUCUCAAAUCCCGUAUUGAUUUAAUAAUUGAAGUUGCUCAGCUGUUAGUGCAUGUGCUGUAUUAUGGGAGUUAUGGCUAGAAUAAAAAUUUCUAGAUGUUGCA
Numida meleagris (helmeted guineafowl) is the source of this 1877-nucleotide long non-coding RNA. Lineage: Eukaryota; Metazoa; Chordata; Aves; Galliformes; Numididae. The record is from Ensembl.